GUCCGCCGAGAGGCGUGCACUGACCGACGGCCCCUGUUGUCUCUCGGGUUGCCCGCCUGCUCUUAAUUGUGGUGGACGGGGAGUUCGGGACGUUUACUUUGAACAAAUUAGAGUGUUCCAAGCAGGCCGGUUGCUUUGAAUACAUUAGCAUGGAAUAAUGGAAUAGGACUGCGUGAUCCGUUGCCUUCGGGUGGCGGGUCCUUGUGUCCUAUUUUGUUGGUUUUCGGGACCGCAGUCAUGGUCAAGAGGGACAGUUGGGGGCAUUCGUAUUCAGUUGUCAGAGGUGAAAUUCUUGGAUUUACGGAAGACGAACAACUGCGAAAGCAUUUGCCAAGGAUGUUUUCAUUAAUCAAGAACGAAAGUUGGGGGUUCGAAGACGAUCAGAUACCGUCGUAGUCCCAACCAUAAACCAUGCCGGCUAGGGAUCGGCGGACGUCGGUAGCGACUCCGUCGGCACCUCUCGAGAAAUCCAAGCCUUGG
RNAcentral lists this ribosomal RNA (480 nucleotides) under Callyspongia plicifera (azure vase sponge). RNAcentral's name for it is "SSU rRNA". It matches the Rfam family "Eukaryotic small subunit ribosomal RNA", at positions 659 to 1109 of the family's 1831-position model. The record is from RNAcentral. Lineage: Eukaryota; Metazoa; Porifera; Demospongiae; Haplosclerida; Callyspongiidae.